Molecule: transfer RNA, 77 nt
Filed under: Bacteroides sp. CAG:144
Lineage: Bacteria; Pseudomonadati; Bacteroidota; Bacteroidia; Bacteroidales; Bacteroidaceae
Description: transfer RNA-Thr(TGT)
Rfam family: tRNA
About the family: Transfer RNA (tRNA) molecules are approximately 80 nucleotides in length. Their secondary structure includes four short double-helical elements and three loops (D, anti-codon, and T loops).
Source: RNAcentral
GCCGAUAUAGCUCAGUUGGCCAGAGCACGUGAUUUGUAAUCUCGGGGUCGAGGGUUCGAAUCCCCCUAUCGGCUCAA